This 186-nucleotide ribosomal RNA is filed under the name Triticum aestivum (bread wheat). RNAcentral's name for it is "partial small subunit ribosomal RNA". Lineage: Eukaryota; Viridiplantae; Streptophyta; Magnoliopsida; Poales; Poaceae. The record is from RNAcentral.
AUGAACACAAGGUUGCACCCGAAAACAUGGUCAAGAGAUAUCUUCGAUCCAUAUUUCCUUGAUGCAAGGAAGAGCACUAUUAAUGCUUCAGUUAUGUGGCAGAUUUGGAGUAGCUGCAAUGAAGAUACUCAUGUUGAGGAGAAGUACAAGCCACAAAAAUCAAUAUUAAUGCACAUAAACAUCUAA